UACGGAGGGUGCGAGCGCUGUCCGGAUUUAUUGGGUUUAAAGGGUGCGUAGGUGGCCUAAUAAGUCAGUGGUGAAAUACGGUUGCUCAACAAUCGAGGUGCCAUUGAUACUGUAAGGCUUGAAAUAAUUGGAGGCUGCCGGAAUGGAUGGUGUAGCGGUGAAAUGCAUAGAUAUCAUCCAGAACACCGAUUGCGAAGGCAGGUGGCUACGAUUGGUUUGACACUGAGGCACGAAAGCAUGGGGAGCAAACGGG
RNAcentral lists this ribosomal RNA (253 nucleotides) under uncultured bacterium. RNAcentral describes it as "partial 16S ribosomal RNA". It matches the Rfam family "Bacterial small subunit ribosomal RNA", at positions 524 to 776 of the family's 1533-position model. The record is from RNAcentral.